This 496-nucleotide ribosomal RNA is filed under the name uncultured bacterium. RNAcentral describes it as "partial 16S ribosomal RNA". It matches the Rfam family "Bacterial small subunit ribosomal RNA", at positions 28 to 507 of the family's 1533-position model. The record is from RNAcentral.
GAUGAACGCUGGCGGCGUGCCUAAUACAUGCAAGUCGAGCGAACAGACGAGGAGCUUGCUCCUCUGACGUUAGCGGCGGACGGGUGAGUAACACGUGGAUAACCUACCUAUAGGCUGGGGUAACUUUGGGAAACCGGAGCUAAUAACGGAAAAUAUAUUGAACCGCCUGGGUCCAUAGGUGAAGAAGGGUUUUCUUGCACCUAUAGGAGGGUCCGCGCCGCAUUAGCUAGUUGGGAAGGUAACGGCUUACCAAGGCAACGAUGCGUAGCCGACCUGAGAGGGUGAUCGGCCACACUGGAACUGAGACACGGUCCAGACUCCUACGGGAGGCAGCAGUAGGGAAUCUUCCGCAAUGGGCGAAAGCCUGACGGAGCAACGCCGCGUGAGUGAUGAAGGUCUUCGGAUCGUAAAACUCUGUUAUUAGGGAAGAACAAAUGUGUAAGUAACUAUGCACGUCUUGACGGUACCUAAUCAGAAAGCCACGGCUAACUACGUG